This 258-nucleotide long non-coding RNA is filed under the name Mytilus galloprovincialis (Mediterranean mussel). Lineage: Eukaryota; Metazoa; Mollusca; Bivalvia; Mytilida; Mytilidae. The record is from RNAcentral.
GUCUACUCUAUUUCUAAAUUUAAGAAAGAAUUAAAAAACGAUAGUCUAGUAUGUAAAAUUGAAACGUUUUAUUUGUACGGCCCAAGGAAAUUAAAUAUUAUCUUAACGCAAUUGCGAUGUUCCGCUUCAUCCUUAAACAAUGACCUAUUUAGAGCUAACAUUAUAAAUGAUCCUUCUUGUCAUUGUGGGUCCGAUAUUGAGGAUGUCUACCAUUACUUCUUCGUUUGCCUAAAAUACACAUUAUGUAGGAAAAACUUA